UGGGGAAUAUUGCACAAUGGGGGAAACCCUGAUGCAGCGACGCCGCGUGAGCGAUGAAGUAUUUCGGUAUGUAAAGCUCUAUCAGCAGGGAAGAAAAUGACGGUACCUGACUAAGAAGCUCCGGCUAAAUACGUGCCAGCAGCCGCGGUAAUACGUAGGGGGCAAGCGUUAUCCGGAUUUACUGGGUGUAAAGGGAGCGUAGACGGCAUGGCAAGUCUGAAGUGAAAGCCCGGGGCUCAACCCCGGGACUGCUUUGGAAACUGUCAGGCUAGAGUGCUGGAGAGGUAAGUGGAAUUCCUAGUGUAGCGGUGAAAUGCGUAGAUAUUAGGAGGAACACCAGUGGCGAAGGCGGCUUACUGGACGGUAACUGACGUUGAGGCUCGAAAGCGUGGGGAGCAAACAGGAUUAGAUACCC
This 415-nucleotide ribosomal RNA is filed under the name uncultured bacterium. RNAcentral's name for it is "bacterial SSU rRNA". It matches the Rfam family "Bacterial small subunit ribosomal RNA", at positions 355 to 787 of the family's 1533-position model. The record is from RNAcentral.